AGGACGAACGCUGGCGGCGUGCCUAACACAUGCAAGUCGAACGGAGAAUCACAACUGAAAUUGAUAUUAGCUUAGCUUAUGGAUUUUCGCCCGUGAUUCUUAGUGGCGGACGGGUGAGUAACGCGUGAGCAACCUGCCUUUGAGAGGGGAAUAACAACCGGAAACGAUUGCUAAUACCGCAUAAUGUCGUCGGACCGCAUGAUCUGACGACCAAAGAUUUAUCGCUCAAAGAUGGGCUCGCGUCUGAUUAGAUAGUUGGUGGGGUAACGGCCUACCAAGUCGACGAUCAGUAGCCGGACUGAGAGGUUGAACGGCCACAUUGGGACUGAGAUACGGCCCAGACUCCUACGGGAGGCAGCAGUGGGGAAUAUUGCACAAUGGGCGCAAGCCUGAAUGCAGCAACGCCGCGUGCGGGAAGACGGUCUUCGGAUUGUAAACCGCUUUUCUUGGAGAAGAAACAAAUGACGGUAUCCAAGGAAUAAGCAUCGGCUAACUACGUGCCAGCCGCCGC
This 511-nucleotide ribosomal RNA is filed under the name uncultured bacterium. RNAcentral describes it as "bacterial SSU rRNA". It matches the Rfam family "Bacterial small subunit ribosomal RNA", at positions 26 to 518 of the family's 1533-position model. The record is from RNAcentral.